CAAGGCGACGAUCCCUAGCUGGUCUGAGAGGAUGACCAGCCACACUGGAACUGAGACACGGUCCAGACUCCUACGGGAGGCAGCAGUGGGGAAUAUUGCACAAUGGGCGCAAGCCUGAUGCAGCCAUGCCGCGUGUAUGAAGAAGGCCUUCGGGUUGUAAAGUACUUUCAGCGGGGAGGAAGGUGUUGUGGUUAAUAACCGCAGCAAUUGACGUUACCCGCAGAAGAAGCACCGGCUAACUCCGUGCCAGCAGCCGCGGUAAUACGGAGGG
RNAcentral lists this ribosomal RNA (271 nucleotides) under Salmonella enterica subsp. enterica serovar Teshie. Its description in RNAcentral is "partial 16S ribosomal RNA". It matches the Rfam family "Bacterial small subunit ribosomal RNA", at positions 269 to 532 of the family's 1533-position model. The record is from RNAcentral. Lineage: Bacteria; Pseudomonadati; Pseudomonadota; Gammaproteobacteria; Enterobacterales; Enterobacteriaceae.